GACGAACCGUGCGAACGUUGUUCGGAUUCACUGGGCUUAAAGGGCGCGUAGGCGGCUCCUCAAGUCGGGGGUGAAAUCCUCUCGCUUAACGAGAGAAUUGCCUCCGAUACUGGGGAGCUGGAGGGGGAUAGGGGUGCGCGGAACUUCCGGUGGAGCGGUGAAAUGCGUAGAUAUCGGAAGGAACGCCGGUGGCGAAAGCGGCGCACUGGAUCCCCACUGACGCUGAGGCGCGAAAACCAGGGGAGCAAACGGG
Molecule: ribosomal RNA, 253 nt
Filed under: uncultured bacterium
Lineage: Bacteria
Description: partial 16S ribosomal RNA
Rfam family: Bacterial small subunit ribosomal RNA
Source: RNAcentral